This 616-nucleotide long non-coding RNA is filed under the name Populus trichocarpa (black cottonwood). Its description in RNAcentral is "long non-coding RNA (PTRI_LNC000536)". The record is from RNAcentral. Lineage: Eukaryota; Viridiplantae; Streptophyta; Magnoliopsida; Malpighiales; Salicaceae.
CUAAUUAUAACUUAAGGGCCAAACCCAAAAUCAAGGAGAAAAAAAGUGCAAUCAACAUUGGGAUUUCCAAAACUGCUCGAGAAAGGGAGGUCGAGUCAAGCUUGAAACCCUAAUUUUAGGUGAAGGAUGAAUAAAGUGAACAAGUUGACAUAAUAAAUUCCUCAUCACGAACAUGGAUAGUGAUUGAUGUUGCACGUGACAAAUUAAUCAGAAAACCCCAAGGAAUUUUAAGGAAAAAAAAAUGGACGAGAGAGAGAACCAAGCUGCAAAUCUGUCUCCAGGAGAAGAGGACGUAAGAAAAGAACGUCAUAUACAAAAGAAACGUGACAUAGAGACAGUGUUCGAGUCUUUGAGAUGCAUGGGAAGACAAACAAAGGCUCGACAGUGCCUACCACAUACAUGAAGAAAACGAGUAAGAACAAAAGAAGAGGUCAAGGAACUACUUUGCUCAAUGCAAGGCUUGCAAAAAUGUUUACCAUGAAUGGAAUAAUGUGGUUAGGAAAUAAUCACAAAAUAUGUUAAGAUUACCGAUAAACAAGAAAACAAAUAAAUGAUCAGCACCACUGAGCAUCACAACCAUAGUGAAUAAACAACACUUACAUUUCUAAGAGACCUC